Molecule: non-coding RNA, 26 nt
Filed under: Rattus norvegicus (Norway rat)
Lineage: Eukaryota; Metazoa; Chordata; Mammalia; Rodentia; Muridae
Source: RNAcentral
GUUUUAGCUUAAAACAAGCGAUGGUU